This 440-nucleotide ribosomal RNA is filed under the name uncultured bacterium. RNAcentral describes it as "bacterial SSU rRNA". It matches the Rfam family "Bacterial small subunit ribosomal RNA", at positions 958 to 1398 of the family's 1533-position model. The record is from RNAcentral.
AACGCGAAGAACCUUACCAAGGUUUGACAUGGCCGGAAAACUCAUGGAGACAUGGGGUCCUUCGGGGCCGGUCACAGGUGGUGCAUGGCUGUCGUCAGCUCGUGUCGUGAGAUGUUGGGUUAAGUCCCGCAACGAGCGCAACCCUCGUCCCAUGUUGCCAGCAAGUAAUGUUGGGGACUCAUGGGAGACUGCCGGGGUCAACUCGGAGGAAGGUGGGGAUGACGUCAAGUCAUCAUGCCCCUUAUGUCUUGGGCUGCAAACAUGCUACAAUGGCCGGUACAAAGGGCUGCGAGCCUGCGAGGGUGAGCGAAUCCCGGAAAGCCGGUCUCAGUUCGGAUCGGGGUCUGCAACCCGGCCCCGUGAAGUCGGAGUCGCUAGUAAUCGCGAAUCAGCAACGUCGCGGUGAAUACGUUCCCGGGCCUUGUACACACCGAGACGUA